UUACGUACUUGGUCCGUUAAUAUCCGAACCUACGUAACAACAAAACAACUCCAAACCUAUCUACGUGUAACCCAUUUUUUUUAUUAAGAAAUAGAAAAAAACUCUUACACCCUCUCUGUGCCCUAGCAGAGCUCCAUUGUUGUCACCACUGCCAUUCCAAAUCGAAGAAGAAGAUCAGAGCACCUCCAUUCUGCAACAGAGACAUUUCUCCAAUUUAAUCAAGUCAUUGCUUCACUACCCGUAGCCCACCAUUGUUGUAUGCAUCUCGUUGUCUACUAUCUAUAGCCCACCAUCGUUACUCCACAGAGAACAGAGGGAUGGCCACUGUACAUAUUACUCUGUGUAUUAAUCAUAGGGGGAGAUUUGAGCGAGGUCCAUGUGGGAAGCUUGGAUAUGUUGGUGGGAAAGUAACAGAGAUUGAGAGGGUUAAUGUGGAUACUCUCAAUGGAUUUUUCAUAAAUGAUUUGCUAAGGGACAUUGGAUAUACAUCCAUUACUGAUUUUUAUUGACUAGAACCUGGUAAGGAGCUUGAUAAUGGGUUGAAAUUGUUAAGGGUUGAUAUGGACAUAGUUAAGUUGUAUGAGGCUGCUGUGAAGAAUGGUAACAGAAUUUACUUAUACA
Arachis ipaensis is the source of this 621-nucleotide non-coding RNA. The record is from RefSeq and is a predicted model, not a curated record. Lineage: Eukaryota; Viridiplantae; Streptophyta; Magnoliopsida; Fabales; Fabaceae.